RNAcentral lists this long non-coding RNA (397 nucleotides) under Ananas comosus (pineapple). RNAcentral describes it as "long non-coding RNA (ACOM_LNC028113)". Lineage: Eukaryota; Viridiplantae; Streptophyta; Magnoliopsida; Poales; Bromeliaceae. The record is from RNAcentral.
GACACGAUCAUGCCAGGAUACCUAUACCUACCCACACUGUCAUGCCCCGCGACCAACCGCCAAUUUGGACCGGGUCGCGGCGCCAACGACAGACCGCCGAACGAACCGGGGUUUCCCCUAUACGCGGACAGAGUCUCCCCUGUACAUUCUAGGCGUCGCAAUCCAAACAAUGUACAUUACAAUUGUUCCAACCAGGAACAGAUAUUCAAUCAUAGAUUGCAAAUGGAAAGUAUCACAACAUAACACAUCCUAUGUUAUUACAUACAUUCACAUUAGAUUCAUUUAUUUACAUCGCACCUUAUAUAUUACAUUCAACUUCCAAAUACAAUCUAAGUUAUUACAUCAUAGGUAUUACAAGGUAAAUACAUUUUAUUCCUUUCAUUUUCUAUACCCCUAA